Molecule: ribosomal RNA, 498 nt
Filed under: Trachylepis maculilabris
Lineage: Eukaryota; Metazoa; Chordata; Lepidosauria; Squamata; Scincidae
Description: partial 16S ribosomal RNA
Rfam family: Bacterial large subunit ribosomal RNA
Source: RNAcentral
AGUAUUAAAGGUCCCGCCUGCCCAGUGAAACUUUUAACGGCCGCGGUAUUCUAACCGUGCAAAGGUAGCGUAAUCACUUGUCUUCUAAAUAAAGACCAGUAUGAACGGCUAAAUGAGGACAAGCCUGUCUCUUAUAACUAAUCAGUGAAACUGAUCUUCCAGUACAAAAGCUGGAAUAAACACAUAAGACGAGAAGACCCCGUGGAGCUUAAAACUAAGCACCAACUACACUAUGCCCUGGUGCCCUGUUUUGAGUUGGGGCGACUUCGGAAUAAAAUAAAACUUCCGAGCACAGAACCACCAGUUCGAGCUAAGGCCAACAAGCCCAGGCACAAAACUGACCCGGCCUCCGCCGAUCAACGAACCAAGUUACCCCGGGGAUAACAGCGCUAUCUUCUUCAAGAGUUCCUAUCAACAAGAAGGUUUACGACCUCGAUGUUGGAUCAGGACACCCCAAUGGUGCAGCCGCUAUUAAAGGUUCGUUUGUUCAACGAUUAA